RNAcentral lists this ribosomal RNA (85 nucleotides) under Erinaceus europaeus (western European hedgehog). The record is from RNAcentral. Lineage: Eukaryota; Metazoa; Chordata; Mammalia; Eulipotyphla; Erinaceidae.
GUCUACGGCAAUAACAUCCUGAAUAUGUCCACUCUCGUCUGAUCUCAGAAGCUAAGCGGGAUCAGGCCUGGUGGGAUUGUUGAAU